UCAGUAAGAUGUAAUCUACAGAACAUACCAUAAUAUUCCUUUUCUCCAUUUUAUCACUGACAGGUGGAUAAUAGAAAUGUUCUGGACAGUCAGAGUGCUGCUGGAGAUGACAUAUGAGAAGGAUCCUGAUUCUCAUCUCGGUAAACUGACAUUUCUUCAUGGCAAUGAAUUCCUUCAUUGCUGUCUUCCAUGUUCUGAAUCUGCCAGCAGCAGUGAUGGAGGGAUGCUGGAUGAAGUGAUUCCACUGGAGAAGGGCUCUGUGCUUUGCACAAGCUCAGGUGUGUUAUAGCUCUGAUUCCAGAGCACUGAGGAGUUCUUAUCAAGCUGUUACGAAGAAUCUGAAUUUAUUUCAUUCUUUUCCUGGAACAUACACCGAGGGCAUUGAGGUUCCUAAAACAAAGCAGCCAGUGCUGCUGGUAGCAAAAUAAUGUGGUUUCACAUCCUAGGUAAACCUUGUGGCAAAUCCCUGUGAUUUAUGGAAAUAUUAUUGGUAUGUGUACCAAGGCCCCAAGACAGCAUCCAUGGGGCUGUCAGGUCUCCACACACACACAGAGUUCUGGCUGUGAUGGCUCUGCUGUGUGUUUGGUAGGAGAGAUUUAAUGGCUGAGUGUCUGUGGUGUUAAUGACUGAAUAAUUCCUGCUCCAGAGCUUUGCUUUAUUUUAUGUUGUUUUAUGACUUUCCAGUUGAAUAGCUCCAGUACCAGUGGGGUGCAAUAUAUCAAGCACAUCAGGAAUCUCCUACAUUAUUGCUUCAGACCCACAGAAGCUGUAACUUCCCAUGUUUAUUGAACUUUCCAGUUGAGACCUUGCUGGUGAAAGGAUUUGACUGUCAAGAAGCUGCUUGAUGUAAGAGCUCUUGUGAAGAGCUCAAUAUGCUACAGAAGACACACACUUU
RNAcentral lists this long non-coding RNA (895 nucleotides) under Corvus moneduloides (New Caledonian crow). Its description in RNAcentral is "lncRNA (ENSCMUG00000001248.2)". The record is from RNAcentral. Lineage: Eukaryota; Metazoa; Chordata; Aves; Passeriformes; Corvidae.